CAGAACUCUGACCAGUGAUGGGAUGAGUGCUUUUAUUAGAUCAAAACCAAUCGGCGGAGGGCCUCGCGUCCGAAGUCGUUAAUUUUGAUGAAUCUGGAUAACUUUUGCCGAUCGCACGGUCCAGCACCGGCGACGCAUCUUUCAAAUGUCUGCCUUAUCAACUUUCGAUGGUAGUUUCUGCGACUACCAUGGUUGUCACGGGUAACGGGGAAUCAGGGUUCGAUUCCGGAGAGGGAGCCUGAGAAACGGCUACCACAUCCAAGGAAGGCAGCAGGCGCGCAAAUUACCCACUCCCGGCACGGGGAGGUAGUGACGAAAAAUAACGAUACGGGACUCUUACGAGGCCUCGUAAUCGGAAUGAGUACACUUUAAAUAUUUUAACGAGGAACAAUUGGAGGGCAAGUCUGGUGCCAGCAGCCGCGGUAAUUCCAGCUCCAAUAGCGUAUACUAAAAUUGUUGCGGUUAAAAAGCUCGUAGUUGCAUUUGUGCGCCGCGCUGUCGGUGCACCGCAUCCGCGGUGAUACUGACACGUUUGCGGAGCAUAUCGUCGGUGAG
Molecule: ribosomal RNA, 555 nt
Filed under: Conogethes punctiferalis (yellow peach moth)
Lineage: Eukaryota; Metazoa; Arthropoda; Insecta; Lepidoptera; Crambidae
Description: SSU rRNA
Rfam family: Eukaryotic small subunit ribosomal RNA
Source: RNAcentral